GUCCAGCUGACGAGUUCAAGGUAGGACGAAACGCGCGUCCUGAAC
Non-coding RNA from Schistosoma haematobium, 45 nucleotides. Lineage: Eukaryota; Metazoa; Platyhelminthes; Trematoda; Strigeidida; Schistosomatidae. The record is from Rfam.